GAUGAACGCUGGCGGCGUGCCUAAUACAUGCAAGUCGAGCGAACGGACGAGAAGCUUGCUUCUCUGAUGUUAGCGGCGGACGGGCGAGUAACACGUGGAUAACCUACCUAUAAGACUGGGAUAACUUCGGGAAACCGUAGCUAAUACCGGAUAAUAUUUUGAACCGCAUGGUUCAAAAGUGAAAGACGGUCUUGCUGUCACUUAUAGAUGGAUCCGCGCUGCAUUAGCUAGUUGGUAAGGUAACGGCUCACCAAGGCAACGAUGCAUAGCCGACCUGAGAGGGUGAUCGGCCACACUGGAACUGAGACACGGUCCAGACUCCUACGGGAGGCAGCAGUAGGGAAUCUUCCGCAAUGGGCGAAAGCCUGACGGAGCAACGCCGCGUGAGUGAUGAAGGUCUUCGGAUCGUAAAACUCUGUUAUUAGGGAAGAACAUAUGUGUAAGUAACUGUGCACAUCUUGACGGUACCUAAUCAGAAAGCCACGGCUAACUACGUG
RNAcentral lists this ribosomal RNA (497 nucleotides) under uncultured bacterium. RNAcentral's name for it is "partial 16S ribosomal RNA". It matches the Rfam family "Bacterial small subunit ribosomal RNA", at positions 28 to 507 of the family's 1533-position model. The record is from RNAcentral.